AGCAGCCGCGGUAAUUCCAGCUCCAAUAGCGUAUAUUAAAGUUGUUGCAGUUAAAAAGCUCGUAGUUGAAUUUCGGGAUCAGACUGUCGGUCGUGCCUCGGUACGCACUGGCAUUAUUGGUUCCUACCUUCUGAAGAACCGCGAUGUCAUUAAUUUGGUGUCGCGGGGAAUCAGGACUGUUACUUUGAAAAAAUUAGAGUGUUUAAAGCAGGCUCACGCUUGAAUACAUUAGCAUGGAAUAAUGAAAUAGGACGUUUGAUUCUAUUUUGUUGGUUUCUAGGAUCGACGUAAUGAUUAAUAGGGAUAGUUGGGGGCAUUAGUAUUCAAUUGUCAGAGGUGAAAUUCUUGGAUUUAUUGAAGACUAACUACUGCGAAAGCAUUUGCCAAGGAUGUUUUCAUUAAUCAAGAACGAAAGUUAGGGGAUCGAAGACGAUCAGAUACCGUCGUAGUCUUAACCAUAAACUAUGCCGACUAGGGAUCGGAUGAUGUUAAUUUUAUAAUGACUCAUUCGGCGCCUUACG
This 521-nucleotide ribosomal RNA is filed under the name uncultured Glomeraceae. RNAcentral describes it as "SSU rRNA". It matches the Rfam family "Eukaryotic small subunit ribosomal RNA", at positions 569 to 1092 of the family's 1831-position model. The record is from RNAcentral. Lineage: Eukaryota; Fungi; Glomeromycota; Glomeromycetes; Glomerales; Glomeraceae.